CAAGUGCGAGCAGGCAGACAGACGAGUGGGUGCUAACGUCCAUUGUCAAGAGGGAACAACCAGACCGCCAGCUAAGGUCCCCAAGACACAGUUAAGUGGGAAACGGAGGUGGGAAGGCAUAGACAGCUAGGAGGUUGGCUUAGAAGCAGCCAUCCUUUAAAGAAAGCGUAAUAGCUCACUAGUCGAGUCGUCCUGCGCGGAAGAUGUAACGGGGCUCAAACUGUGCACCGAAGCUGCGGAUAUCGAAAGAUAUGGUAGGGGAGCGUUCUGUAGGUCUGUGAAGGUGUCUUGAGAAGGAUGCUGGAGAUAUCAGAAGUGCGAAUGCUGACAUGAGUAGCGAUAAAGGGAGUGAAAAGCUCCCUCGCCGAAAGCCCAAGGUUUCCUACGCAACGUUCAUCGGCGUAGGGUGAGUCCGCCCCUAAGGCGAGGCAGAAAUGCGUAGUCGAUGGGAAACAGGUCAAUAUUCCUGUACCGAUUCUAGAUGCGAUGUGGGG
RNAcentral lists this ribosomal RNA (494 nucleotides) under uncultured bacterium. Its description in RNAcentral is "bacterial LSU rRNA". It matches the Rfam family "Bacterial large subunit ribosomal RNA", at positions 967 to 1471 of the family's 2925-position model. The record is from RNAcentral.